GAUGAAGAACGUAGCGAAAUGCGAUAAGUAGUGUGAAUUGCAGAAUUCAGUGAAUCAUCGAAUCUUUGAACGCACAUUGCGCCCUUUGGUAUUCCAAAGGGCAUGCCUGUUCGAGCGUCAUUUGUACCCUCAAGCUUUGCUUGGUGUUGGGCGUCUUGUCUCUAGCUUUGCUGGAGACUCGCCUUAAAGUAAUUGGCAGCCGGCCUACUGGUUUCGGAGCGCAGCACAAGUCGCACUCUCUAUCAGCAAAGGUCUAGCAUCCAUUAAGCCUUUUUUUUCAACUUUUGACCUCGGAUCAGGUAGGGAUACCCGCUGAACUAAAGCAUAUCAAUAAGCGGAGGA
RNAcentral lists this unclassified non-coding RNA (342 nucleotides) under soil metagenome. RNAcentral's name for it is "partial contains 5.8S ribosomal RNA, internal transcribed spacer 2, and large subunit ribosomal RNA". The stretch from base 1 to 120 matches the Rfam family "5.8S ribosomal RNA", at positions 35 to 154 of the family's 154-position model. The record is from RNAcentral.